UUACCAGCGAUUCUUUAUUCUCGUAUAUGUGCAGGAAUCGGCCUGCAUGUAUCUAUCCGAUCACCGGAAAUGAUUGGGCUGCGGCAUGAUUCGGACCGGUU
This 101-nucleotide non-coding RNA is filed under the name Paenibacillus uliginis. Its description in RNAcentral is "Guanine sequence". It matches the Rfam family "Purine riboswitch aptamer". Rfam says of the family: Riboswitches are metabolite binding domains within certain messenger RNAs that serve as precision sensors for their corresponding targets. Allosteric rearrangement of mRNA structure is mediated by ligand binding, and this results in modulation of gene expression. RNAcentral also lists the same sequence under 1 other name. The record is from RNAcentral. Lineage: Bacteria; Bacillati; Bacillota; Bacilli; Caryophanales; Paenibacillaceae.